UUUUCAGCAAUCAUUGAGAUUUAUAUUCUCGUAAAGGAGAAGAACCAUGUAGAAGCGGGAAAUGUAAUGAUCGCAGUUGCAUUUGCAAUACUAUACUUGAUGUUCUACCAUUGGAAUAAUAAGGGCCGUAAUAAUAAUGGCCGUAAUAACGAAGCAGCACAACCUGCGAACGGU
Cryptotermes secundus is the source of this 174-nucleotide long non-coding RNA. RefSeq lists it as uncharacterized. Lineage: Eukaryota; Metazoa; Arthropoda; Insecta; Blattodea; Kalotermitidae. The record is from RefSeq and is a predicted model, not a curated record. The transcript is spliced from 3 exons.